Molecule: ribosomal RNA, 797 nt
Filed under: uncultured archaeon
Lineage: Archaea
Description: bacterial SSU rRNA
Rfam family: Archaeal small subunit ribosomal RNA
Source: RNAcentral
AAUGCUCAGUAACUCGUAGCCAACCUACCCUUAGGUCAAGGAUACCCUCGGGAAACUGAGGCUAAUACUUGAUGAGAUAUACCCUGGAAUGAUGUAUCUCUGAAACUUGAGCCUAAGGAUGGGGCUGCGGCGGAUUAGGUUGUUGGCGGGGUAAUAGCCCACCAAGCCAAAAAUCCGUAAGGGCUCUUAGCGGAGAACCCCUGAGAGGGAAUCUGAGACACUAUUCCCAGCCCUACGGGGUGCAGCAGUUAGGAAUAUUCUGCAAUGCGCGAAAGCGUGACAGAUUGAACCAGAGUGUCUUUCAAAUGAAAGACUUUUAUCAAAUGUAAAAAGUUUGAAGAAUAAGGACUGGGUAAGACUAAUGCCAGCCGCCGCGGUAAUACUAGCGGUCCAAGUCGCAGCCAUUUUAUUGGGUCUAAAACAUCCGUAGCUUGCUUAGUAAGUUUCCUGUGAGAUUUUAUCUCUUAAAGGUAGAGAGUGCAGGAAAUACUGCUAAGCUAGAGACUGGAAGACGUAAGAAGUACGACAAAAGUAGUGGUAAAAUACGUUAAUCGCUUGUCGGCACUCACAACAGCGAAGGCAUCUUACGAGGACAGUUCUGACAUGUAAGGGAUGAAGGUCUAGGGGCGCUAAAGAMGGAUUAGCAUACCCGUGUAGUCCUAGCAGUAAACUCUGCACACUAAACAUUAGUACCUCUUCGAGAGGUAUUCGGUGCUGAUAGGGAAGCCGAAGAGUGUGCAUACCUGGGAAGUAUAGUCGACAAGGCCGAAACUUAAAGGUAAUUGGCGGGGGAGCAC